GUGCGAGACCGAUAGCGAACAAGUACCGUGAGGGAAAGAUGAAAAGAACUUUGAAAAGAGAGUUAAAGAGUACCUGAAACUGCUGAAAGGGAACCGAAUCGUUUCCAGUGUCUAUAAUCCAUGGUAUAUUUCAUUGGCGAGUGAGUGCGUGCAGCGUUUUGGAAGCGGUCUCCGCUCCUGUCGUUGUUGUGCAUUUGCUUGCUGGUGCCCUGUGCUGUGGUGGGACGUCAGAGUCAGUUUGUAUGUUGCGGGAAAUGGUUAUCAGGGAGGUAGGUCGCUUCGGUGGCUGUUAUAUCCUGGUAACUAGUCGUCGUGGCUGAGACUGAGGUGCCUACAACGCGCUUUCGAGUCUGCGGGCUUCUCGUGUGGCUGUUUGCUUUGAUAGCUUGCUAUGUUAGUGAACGUGUUGAGCGAUUGAGAUCUGUAGUAACUUGUUGCUGUUCGGGACUUUGAA
Molecule: ribosomal RNA, 454 nt
Filed under: uncultured rhizosphere oomycete
Lineage: Eukaryota; Oomycota
Description: eukaryotic LSU rRNA
Rfam family: Eukaryotic large subunit ribosomal RNA
Source: RNAcentral